GACGAACGCUGGCGGCGUGCUUAACACAUGCAAGUCGAACGGAAAGGCCCUGCUUUUGUGGGGUGCUCGAGUGGCGAACGGGUGAGUAACACGUGAGUAACCUGCCCUUGACUUUGGGAUAACUUCAGGAAACUGGGGCUAAUACCGGAUAGGAGCUCCUGCUGCAUGGUGGGGGUUGGAAAGUUUCGGCGGUUGGGGAUGGACUCGCGGCUUAUCAGCUUGUUGGUGGGGUAGUGGCUUACCAAGGCUUUGACGGGCAGCCGGCCUGAGAGGGUGACCGGCCACAUUGGGACUGAGAUACGGCACAGACUCCUACGGGAGGCAGCAGUGGGGAAUAUUGCACAAUGGGCGGAAGCCUGAUGCAGCAACGCCGCGUGCGGGAUGACGGCCUUCGGGUUGUAAACCGCUUUCGCCUGUGACGAAGCGUGAGUGACGGUAAUGGGUAAAGAAGCACCGGCUAACUACGUG
This 468-nucleotide ribosomal RNA is filed under the name uncultured bacterium. RNAcentral's name for it is "partial 16S ribosomal RNA". It matches the Rfam family "Bacterial small subunit ribosomal RNA", at positions 28 to 507 of the family's 1533-position model. The record is from RNAcentral.